This is a long non-coding RNA of Daphnia magna, 380 nucleotides long. RefSeq lists it as uncharacterized. NCBI's taxonomy places the organism in Eukaryota, Metazoa, Arthropoda, Branchiopoda, Diplostraca, Daphniidae. The record is from RefSeq and is a predicted model, not a curated record. The transcript is spliced from 3 exons.
UUCUAAAAAUAGAACAUACAAUGACAGUUACUGAUUGAUAUAGGCAAUUUAACCUUUAAUCAAUCGGGCAUUCGAAGUAACUAAGAAGUUAGGACGAUACUGCCUAUUAGACAGAAUUCAGUUGUAGAGGUUCAGAACAUUCAGUUUAUUUGAGUUCAUCAUGUAAGAUGAUGAUGAGUCUGGUGUAAUUCUUCUUGUGUGUAUGGUGCAAACGCUAAGUAUAGACAGGAAUGCCAUUUGUUGUUUGACAUAUUACGAUUCCAGGUGGACUAUUUCUCAUACAGCUCCUACUGUGGGUGCCAGUCAGAAAAAUCUAAUCGAACUCACCACUUCUGAGUUUGCCGUAUUGCUUGUGCCUAACAACAAGCAUACCUAUAUAU